Chelonia mydas (Green sea turtle) is the source of this 3737-nucleotide long non-coding RNA. RefSeq lists it as uncharacterized. The transcript is spliced from 3 exons. NCBI's taxonomy places the organism in Eukaryota, Metazoa, Chordata, Testudines, Cheloniidae. The record is from RefSeq and is a predicted model, not a curated record.
UCCAAAGGUCUUUCUUAGCUUUGGAGAGCAGACACAAGCACUCCGGCAGAUGCUGAGCAAGAGGCUGCAGUUCCACAGUAGGUUCUGGUUUCUGUUGGCCUUUCAUGCAUGCAUCUUAAAAAUAAAAGGACUUGGUUGUUGAGCACAAAGACUCCUUACUUCUUUGAGAAGAACUCCGCACCCAACACCAAGCUCCUGGCAGUAGGUGAGGGGACAGAGCCAUCCAGCUCCUCACAGCAAUAGUUGCUGCUUGGUCAGGAUUCCCCAGCUGUGACCUCCUCUCUCACCUGGAAAGGAUGAUGGCCCUUCCAGUGCACCAUGGAUCCCGGCUCCUUUCCAUCCAUCUCUUCUGGAGGACUGUCAGCAGGGGCAGCCGUCUCCUCCACAGCCAACCACCCGAGGAGAACAUGGGAAUAGUGGAGACUGUCAUUGGUUUAUCAGCAUUUUCCCUGGCUGUCCUUGGACCAGCUGGAUGGUUCCUGUUCCACCUUCCAAGCUAUAAAAAGAAGUAGAAGAUGUGCUUUCCUAUUUAAGACCUGGAGCCUCAGAUCUGCUAAAUCCUGUGCAUUCGUACUCGAAUAAAUGUAUCCUGCAAAUUGUGGUUGGCAGAAACAUCAAUUUGUUUUAAACUUUUAUGUUUAGAUUUAUGGUAUGUGAAGGAUUUUUCCAUGUUUUAUGUUUAUAAUGGAUGUAUUGCAAAUAUUUUAAAAUCUAGCCUUCACUUUAAAUAAGUAUAAUAAUGGUUCAAUAUGUCAUACUUAUAUGGUAUUAUUCUUGGUUCAAGUCAGAUCUCUUAAUGAUUACAUUUCUGGUUUGCCAAAAUAUAGAGUCCACCCUCCAUGAUGCCUGAUACAAAUCAUAUUUUGCUAGCUGUCCAUCUCCAUUAAGGGUAAAACAACUCACGGUAACAUGAAAAUACAGCUUCUGAAAACAGGGAUUUCAAUGCAAUUUCUUUCUCAGUUAAGUGAAAGUAUAAAUUCUUAGUAUGCUUCUAAAAUACGAUUUUCUAAAAAGCUGAACUCUCUGGUUCUUCUCCUCCACUUUAAAUGCUUUUAGACAUUUAUGAAUUGGAGAGAAUGGGGGCUCCAUGAUAGCUUAUAAAUAGUGAUGCUGUUUUAUUGUUUGCAGAAAAAUAUAGCUCUGUCACUGUAAUUCUAGCAGCAUGAUUCAAUGUCCAUUGAUGUUUAUGGAAGGAUUCCCACAGAUUUCAGUGAGCUUUGGAUUGGGGCCUAGAUUCUUGAUAUCCAGAGAACAAACCAUGCCAGUACUGAUUAGAUGAAAACAGAAAGAUAGCUGCAGGAAGACACUGUGGAGCACUGAUUUUGCAAACAUAAGUAGUCUAUGGGACUAUUCUUCCGUGUAAAAUUAUUCAGUGUGCAUAUAUGCUUGCAGGAUCAGGGGCCUAAUUUGGUUAUUCCUACCUCAUUUAAUAUACAAGAAAUAAUUUAGCAAGUCAUGACAUAUUUUAGUUACUGUGUUUGUCCCUCUAAGAUAUGAUAAUAUCUAGUGAGGUUGCCUGUUUAUAACAAAGUAAAUAAAGUAUGUCAACAGCUCAUUGAAGCAUUUGGAAUGGCACUAGAUGAAAGUCUGGUAAAAAAAUUGUAUAACAUUUGGAGACAUAAGAACAUAGGGAUAUUUAUCUUUCAGUAGAAAUGCUUCCCAGAAAUCAGAGCAGUUAUCUGGAGGAUUGUUUAAAAUAUAAGCAUUUUUCAGAAAUAAAAGAACAUUCAAAUUUUCAGCCCAUCUUUAGAUGUUUUUCUCUUUCUGCAAUGGGAAUUGGGUUUCACGGUUCAUUACUAGUAUUCCUUAGCUCUGAUACAGCACUUGUUACCACCAGAAGAGCUCAAAGUCCUUUACAAAGGUAGAUGAAUAGCAUUGUCCUGUAACCCUUGUCACAGGUGGGGAAGCUGCAGCAAAGAGACUUGCCUGAGGUGACACAACAAUUUAGGGGUAGAGCUGGGAUCAGAACCCAGGGAUAAGAUUCUGUUCCGUGUCUCUAAAGGGCACAGCACAGAUCUCAUAGCCCAGUGCUGGGCGGAAUGGUGGCUUUAAAUGACCUUUGUGCCCUCCCAAUCCUAGGCUGCUCUAGGGACUGGUGGGGCUCCUGACAAACUUUAGACAGCUGUGGUGCCUGUCUAAGUUACAGCAACCUCCUUGGAAUGCUAUAGGUGGUGCACUGUCACCUGGAAUCGCUGCAGAACUGUACAGAGUGUGUCCCCUUCCUUAGCCCCAGCUCUGGGAUACCCCUAUGCCAGGAGUUGGUAGGGAGUCCUCAGAAGGCAGCAUUAUGGCUGUCUGCCACAGUUCCUGUGCCAGCUCAGAACUAAGCUUUUAGUGGUUCUUUACACCAGGGCGGUGCUUAUACCAGGUGCAAAGGGGCCAAAGCAGGAGUGAGGAGGGUGAUUUUUUAAACACUUUCCCUCUCAACUCAUAAAAUGCACGUCUGCUUUUGGUCUAUAAAUAGCUGGUUUGGCCAAUUUUGGGUAAAGAGAGGCACAGCAGAAAAUAAAAUGAAAUUCAGGCUUUGGGAGAAAAUCUUGUGGGUGACAUAAAUUUGCACAAACAUGGCAUGUUUAAAUGACAGUUACUAACACUGUGUUCCUUAGGGCUAAUAAAGCAAAUCUGUUAAUAGUCCAAGACUAUGUUAAUGAGGAUGGUACCAAUUCUCAAUGUGGGAUGUCACUUACUUCUCUGAACCCCUCUACCACGGCAACAAACUAAGCAUUUUGUUCUUUUGAUGGCUAAAGAAAUUACUCAAUAAUUUAGAGCAUUUAUCAUACUUGUUGGGUUUUUUUAGCUCACAGAUACUGACAUUUCUCCCUGGGUGAAAUUCACUCUCCACAGGGAGCCAACAUGAGAUCUAACCCACUUAAGUCCUAUUUCGAAGUCUUAAGUGAUGCACAAACACAUGCUGGUCCUCUGCACAGAAGUGAAUUUCACUCAUUAUGGUCACUAACAGAUUCCACUCCUAUUGAUGCCCAGGCAUUCAUCUUGCUGAUGUCACAUUAACCCAGAGACUAUGAGCCCAAAGGAACAAUUCCUUCCCAUAGCUCCUCCUGAGUCAGCACAGAUACAUGUUGCCCCUUAUUCUGGGCUGAGGCUAAUGGCCCAGUUUAGCCCUACGUCGAUGUCUUUCCUCAGCUGUAAAUGAUAAUACUUAUCUACCUUAUAGGCAUGCAGUGAAGAUUAAUGCUUAUUUAGGAUUUAGGGACAAGUAAAAUCCAACAGGAUCUGACCAUUGUUGUGCGUGAUGGGGGUUUACAAACGUUGCACCACAAAGGAAGGGGUUAAGGAGCUACUCUGAGCCCAGUUAACCCCUCCCCACCACACCUGCACAGCAAACCUGGGUUGGAGGAGAAGCUUAAAAGGAGAACAGACUGGCUCGGUAGCAGUGGAGGAUAAGAGACGUGUAUCCUGUUAGCUUUUCGUUGUGAGUGCUGUGCGGGUGUUCAGCUGCCUGCGAUCUCUGACUCUGUGACUCCACCAGUCCUACUGAGCAAAGGGAUUCUUGACACUCAGAAGGUCUGCGAUUUCCUUUUGAUAUACGUUGUUUCAUGUCUUACUUUGCCUGGGGAGAGAAAGGGACUGGUAGAAAGUAAUUCAGGAAAGCAGUAGUACAGCACCUUUGGGUGCUGACUUUAGCUGCCUUCCAGAAAGCCCUGAACUGGAAGCUAGUGGAAAGGGUGGGCCUGGGUUUCCCUACCUUCACCUAAGGGGUGCAGAGAGCUGUGAGCCUA